CUCGAUAAACUUGACCCAGUUCUAAGUUUUCCAAGCGGCGAUAAAAACGGAGGAAGACACUCUGGGCCAUGAAAAAUGCAGACCGAAUCGAGGGAAUCGAGGGGCUAGUGCAGAUUCAGAUCGCGUGCAGCCAGAGGACCCCAGCUGCACGGGUCUCCAUCGCCUCCUGGGCUCUUGGGCUCCUGGACUCCCAUGUUCGGACCUCGUGUGAGGCGACCGCCAACAGUCACGACCCCACAGGGUCUUGCAGAGCCCAUCGAAGUUACACUGAAAGAAAUCAUAAGCUUAUUUAAAAAACAUCUUCCUCCACAGAUGAAUUCAGCACAUUUUUGGAUCCAUUGUAUAAAAAAAAACAACAACAGAGUUACAUAGUUCUUAGUCAAUAUAAAAUGAAAGUAUUUCUAGUCAUUGGAAUCAAUAAAUAUUGUAAAAAUGGUUUGACUUUUGCUUUGCUUAAGUUGUCUAAGAACUAAUCACUAUUAUGUUAAAUUAUUUUAAGACAUUGCAGCUAUAAAAUACUUUUAGUUUUCUGAUUAUAGAAUUGAACAUAGAUUUGUAUACAAGGUAUAUAGGAAAUUAAGCAGAAAUAAACAAAAAGUAUAUUGGCAUACAUCACAA
Long non-coding RNA from Drosophila elegans, 618 nucleotides. RefSeq lists it as uncharacterized. The record is from RefSeq and is a predicted model, not a curated record. NCBI's taxonomy places the organism in Eukaryota, Metazoa, Arthropoda, Insecta, Diptera, Drosophilidae. The transcript has 2 exons.